Transfer RNA from Operophtera brumata (winter moth), 73 nucleotides. It matches the Rfam family "tRNA". From Rfam's summary of the family: Transfer RNA (tRNA) molecules are approximately 80 nucleotides in length. Their secondary structure includes four short double-helical elements and three loops (D, anti-codon, and T loops). Further hydrogen bonds mediate the characteristic L-shaped molecular structure. tRNAs have two regions of fundamental functional importance: the anti-codon, which is responsible for specific mRNA codon recognition, and the 3' end, to which the tRNAs corresponding amino acid is attached (by aminoacyl-tRNA synthetases). tRNAs cope with the degeneracy of the genetic code in two manners: having more than one tRNA (with a specific anti-codon) for a particular amino acid; and 'wobble' base-pairing, i.e. permitting non-standard base-pairing at the 3rd anti-codon position. NCBI's taxonomy places the organism in Eukaryota, Metazoa, Arthropoda, Insecta, Lepidoptera, Geometridae. The record is from Rfam.
CGUUCUACGGCCGAACUGGUGAAGGCAUCGCUGAUAACAGGCGAAGAUGCGGGUUCGAGUCCCGCUGGAAUGG